AUUGAACGCUGGCGGAAUGCUUUACACAUGCAAGUCGAACGGCAGCACGGGGCAACCUGGUGGCGAGUGGCGAACGGGUGAGUAAUACAUCGGAACGUGCCCAAUCAUGGGGGAUAACGUAGCGAAAGCUACGCUAAUACCGCAUACGAUCUACGGAUGAAAGCGGGGGAUCGCAAGACCUCGCGCGAAUGGAGCGGCCGAUGGCAGAUUAGGUAGUUGGUGGGGUAAAGGCUCACCAAGCCGACGAUCUGUAGCUGGUCUGAGAGGACGACCAGCCACACUGGGACUGAGACACGGCCCAGACUCCUACGGGAGGCAGCAGUGGGGAAUUUUGGACAAUGGGCGCAAGCCUGAUCCAGCCAUUCCGCGUGCAGGAUGAAGGCCUUCGGGUUGUAAACUGCUUUUGUACGGAACGAAAAGGCUCUGGUUAAUACCCGGGGCUCAUGACGGUACCGUAAGAGUAAGCACCGGCUAACUACGUGCCAGCCGCCGUAAUAC
This 498-nucleotide ribosomal RNA is filed under the name uncultured bacterium. RNAcentral describes it as "partial 16S ribosomal RNA". It matches the Rfam family "Bacterial small subunit ribosomal RNA", at positions 30 to 526 of the family's 1533-position model. The record is from RNAcentral.